GGCUGGCGCAUGCUUUAACAUGCAGUCGAACGGCAGCACGGGGGCAACCCUGGUGGCGAGUGGCGAACGGGUGAGUAAUGCAUCGGAACGUGCCCAGUAGUGGGGGAUAGCCCGGCGAAAGCCGGAUUAAUACCGCAUACGACCUGAGGGUGAAAGCGGGGGACCGUAAGGCCUCGCGCUAUUGGAGCGGCCGAUGUCAGAUUAGCUAGUUGGUGGGGUAAAGGCUCACCAAGGCGACGAUCUGUAGCUGGUCUGAGAGGACGACCAGCCACACUGGGACUGAGACACGGCCCAGACUCCUACGGGAGGCAGCAGUGGGGAAUUUUGGACAAUGGGCGCAAGCCUGAUCCAGCCAUGCCGCGUGCGGGAAGAAGGCCUUCGGGUUGUAAACCGCUUUUGUCAGGGAAGAAAAGCUCUGGGCUAAUACCUCGGAGUGAUGACGGUACCUGAAGAAUAAGCACCGGCUAACUACGUGCCAGCAGCCGCGGUAAUACGUAGGGUGCAAGCGUUAAUCGGAAUUACUGGGCGUAAAGCGUGCGCAGGCGGUUGUGCAAGACAGAUGUGAAAUCCCCGGGCUCAACCUGGGAACUGCAUUUGUGACUGCACGGCUGGAGUGCGGCAGAGGGGGAUGGAAUUCCGCGUGUAGCAGUGAAAUGCGUAGAUAUGCGGAGGAACACCGAUGGCGAAGGCAAUCCCCUGGGCCUGCACUGACGCUCAUGC
RNAcentral lists this ribosomal RNA (720 nucleotides) under Caldimonas manganoxidans. RNAcentral's name for it is "bacterial SSU rRNA". It matches the Rfam family "Bacterial small subunit ribosomal RNA", at positions 34 to 752 of the family's 1533-position model. The record is from RNAcentral. Lineage: Bacteria; Pseudomonadati; Pseudomonadota; Betaproteobacteria; Burkholderiales; Sphaerotilaceae.